This 116-nucleotide ribosomal RNA is filed under the name Endozoicomonadaceae bacterium. Lineage: Bacteria; Pseudomonadati; Pseudomonadota; Gammaproteobacteria; Oceanospirillales; Endozoicomonadaceae. The record is from RNAcentral.
CCUGGCAGCCACAGAGUGUUGGAACCACCUGAUCCCAUCCCGAACUCAGUAGUGAAACGACACAUCGCCGAUGAUAGUAUGGGGAUUUCCCAUGUGAAAGUAGGACACUGCCAGGG